This is a long non-coding RNA of Etheostoma cragini (Arkansas darter), 179 nucleotides long. RefSeq lists it as uncharacterized. The transcript is spliced from 3 exons. The record is from RefSeq and is a predicted model, not a curated record. NCBI's taxonomy places the organism in Eukaryota, Metazoa, Chordata, Actinopteri, Perciformes, Percidae.
UUCUCCUCUGUAUUUAGAACACAACUAAUGUUGAGGAUGACUAAUGUUCACAUCUGCCAUCUAAAAAGAGGCAAACACUGUCUGAUGUUACUAUUUUUUUUAAGAAUUUGGCAAAAACAGCAUUACUAAUCUUGGAACUUAUUUUUAGUAGAGUUUACCAAAUGAAUGAGCGAUAUUUC